Molecule: ribosomal RNA, 847 nt
Filed under: uncultured bacterium
Lineage: Bacteria
Description: bacterial SSU rRNA
Rfam family: Bacterial small subunit ribosomal RNA
Source: RNAcentral
UAAUGUCUGGAAACGGGCACUAAUACCUUAUAAUGACUUCGGUCCAAAGAUUUAUCGCCUAAGGAUUAGCCUGCGUCCCAUCAGCUAGUUGGUAAGGUAACGGCUUACCAAGGCGAUGACGGGUAGGGGGCCUGAGAGGGUGGCCCCCCACACUGGCACUGAAACACGGGCCAGACAUCUACGGAUGGCAGCAGUAGGGAAUAUUGCACAAUGGGCGAAAGUGAUGCAGCAACCCGCGUGCGCGAAGAAGGCCUUCGGGUUGUAAAGCGCUUUUCUGGAGGAAGAGGAAGGACGGUACUCCAGGAAUAAGGAUCGGCUAACUACGUGCCAGCAGCCGCGGUAACACGUAGGAUCCGAGCGUUAUCCGAAUUUACUGGGCGUAAAGCGCGUGUAGGCGGCUGGGUAAGUUGGACGUGAAAGCUCCUGGCUCAACUAGGAGAGGUCGUUCAAAACUGCCUGGCUAGAGGGCGACAGAGGGAGGUGGAAUUCCCGGUGUAGUGGUGAAAUGCGUAGAUAUCGGGAGGAACACCAGUGGCGAAGGGGCCUCCUGGGUCGCCCCUGACGCUCAGACGCGAAAGUAGGGGAGCGAACGGGAUUAGAUACCCCGGUAGUCCUAGCUGUAAACGAUGUGAACUUGGCGUUGGUGGGGUCAAAUCCAUCAGUGCCGGAGCUAACGCGAUAAGUUCACCGCCUGGGGACUACGGUCGCAAGAUUAAAACUCAAAGGAAUUGGCGGGGGCCGCACAAGCAGCGGAUGUGGUUUAAUUCGAUGCUACACGAAGAACCUUACCCGGGUUUGACAUCCAGGUGGUAGGGAACGAAAGGGGACCGACCCUUCGGGAGCCUGG